RNAcentral lists this ribosomal RNA (543 nucleotides) under fungal sp. ARIZ B040. RNAcentral's name for it is "eukaryotic LSU rRNA". The stretch from base 156 to 309 matches the Rfam family "5.8S ribosomal RNA". Lineage: Eukaryota; Fungi. The record is from RNAcentral.
CAUUACCGAGUUAUUCAACUCAUCAACCCUGUGAACAUACCUAAACGUUGCUUCGGCGGGAAUAGACGGCCCCGUGAAACGGGCCGCCCCCGCCAGAGGACCCUUAACUCUGUUUCUAUAAUGUUUCUUCUGAGUAAAACAAGCAAAUAAAUUAAAACUUUCAACAACGGAUCUCUUGGCUCUGGCAUCGAUGAAGAACGCAGCGAAAUGCGAUAAGUAAUGUGAAUUGCAGAAUUCAGUGAAUCAUCGAAUCUUUGAACGCACAUUGCGCCCGCCAGUAUUCUGGCGGGCAUGCCUGUUCGAGCGUCAUUACAACCCUCAGGCCCCCGGGCCUGGCGUUGGGGAUCGGCGGAGCCUCUCUGUGGGCACACGCCGUCCCCCAAAUACAGUGGCGGUCCCGCCGCAGCUUCCAUCGCGUAGUAGCUAACACCUCGCGACUGGAGAGCGGCGCGGCCACGCCGUAAAACACCCAACUUUUCUGAAGUUGACCUCGAAUCAGGUAGGAAUACCCGCUGAACUUAAGCAUAUCAAUAAGCGGAGGAA